RNAcentral lists this ribosomal RNA (245 nucleotides) under uncultured bacterium. RNAcentral describes it as "partial 16S ribosomal RNA". It matches the Rfam family "Bacterial small subunit ribosomal RNA", at positions 15 to 249 of the family's 1533-position model. The record is from RNAcentral.
GAUAUGGCUCAGGAUGAACGCUAGCUACAGGCUUAACACAUGCAAGUCGAGGGGCAGCGGGAAGUCAGCUUGCUGACUUUGCCGGCGACCGGCGCACGGGUGAGUAACACGUAUCCAACCUUCCCCGUUACGUCCUGGAAUAGCCGUUUCGAAAGAAAGAUUAAUACCGGAUAGUAUCGAGAGAUUGCAUGAUUACCCCGAUUAAAGAUUCAUCGGUACGGAUGGGAUGCGUUCCAUUAGGCAGG